RNAcentral lists this small nuclear RNA (142 nucleotides) under Neogale vison (American mink). Its description in RNAcentral is "Neovison vison (American mink) U4 spliceosomal RNA (ENSNVIG00000020990.1)". It matches the Rfam family "U4 spliceosomal RNA". From Rfam's summary of the family: U4 small nuclear RNA (U4 snRNA) is a component of the major U2-dependent spliceosome. The record is from RNAcentral. Lineage: Eukaryota; Metazoa; Chordata; Mammalia; Carnivora; Mustelidae.
AGCUUUGUGCAGUGGCAGUAUCGUAGCCAAUGAGGUUUAUCCGAGGCGCGAUUAUUGCUAAUUGAAAAAAUAGAGCUGUUCACCUUAUCUGUUUCUUACUGAGUAAGGUUUGGUACCUUAGAAUUUGUCCAGUUUUUCUAAG